This is a non-coding RNA of Podarcis lilfordi (Lilford's wall lizard), 76 nucleotides long. The record is from the annotation of a GenBank genome assembly. NCBI's taxonomy places the organism in Eukaryota, Metazoa, Chordata, Lepidosauria, Squamata, Lacertidae.
GGCUAUAACCCAGUGGUAGAGCACCUGCCUUGCAUGCAGAAGGUCUGAGGUUCAAUCUCUGGAAUGAUGAGCGCCG